ACGUAUUAGUUUUAAAAUGUUUCAAUUACUGUCAAACCCUAACUACAAACGCCAUGCAAAAGAAUCGGCAGGUGGCUAUUAUCGCUGGCAUUUAGGAUGUAUUUCUUUCAGAAAAAUGCGAUUGAACUGCAGUUGGAAUUUUGAACCAUCUUCCCCUAAUUAACGAGGUUUCGCUCGUGUCGCUUCGGAGUGUCAGUCAGUGCGAGGUAUGAUGGGAUACACCAUCAUAGGUGUUGUUUAUUCCACCAUGAUUUUUGAGUAAAUCAUCCUAAUUGAUUUAGAGAAGUAUAUUCAGGUGUUUCAAUGCUGGUCGUAACGGUUUUCUGAUUGCUCCGAUAAACUGAAAACAAUUUCGACUCCAAUUUCCCCCGCCGUCUAACGAAAUGCCAUAAACCGAUCGAAAUUAGCUUCCCACUGAUUGAUUGCCAAAUUCAAUUCAUGAUCCGCUAUGCUCUGAAGCGGGUGGCUAGAUACGAACAGGUCCAUAAAAAUUCCUUAUCGCUAACCAUUCGCCAUGGAGUGAAGAACUUCAAACACCUUUUAGUCGAGGACCAUCCCACGCAUCAACAUCAUCAUCAUCAUCAUUUUCCCCGUCACCACAUUUCGGUUCAGCUGAGCCGGGUGUUGUUCGAGUGGCCAUAAAUCUUGGCCACUUAUUCCGCCGAAUGUGCGUUUUAUGGCCAUGAGAAGUCAUCGCAGGGAGGCAACAAGCCGUUUGGGAGUUCUGGAUUGGAAAGAGCUAUAAGCACUUCUAGAAUGGUCGAUGCGUGGUGGAAAUCAUGGCAAGGAUUCAAUCGGUUUUUCACGCCCAGCCUUGAAUGGAUCCAGUUAGUAACGACUUCUGGAGAUAUUGCAAUUUUACAAAAUUCUGAAAAGGUUCUGGGGAAAGAUCUAUGACAGGAUUGAAACCAUAAAUUGCAGAUAAAAGAAAGUUGAAAUUGUUUACUAGUAAACUCCAAUAAAUAUCACUCUGAAUUCAAAUCGAAA
Aedes aegypti (yellow fever mosquito) is the source of this 987-nucleotide long non-coding RNA. RefSeq lists it as uncharacterized. The record is from RefSeq and is a predicted model, not a curated record. The transcript has 2 exons. NCBI's taxonomy places the organism in Eukaryota, Metazoa, Arthropoda, Insecta, Diptera, Culicidae.